CGCGUGCCUAAUACAUGCAAGUCGAACGAGUUCUGAUUAUUGAAAGGUGCUUGCAUCUUGAUUUAAUUUUGAACGAGUGGCGGACGGGUGAGUAACACGUGGGUAACCUGCCCUUAAGUGGGGGAUAACAUUUGGAAACAGAUGCUAAUACCGCAUAAAUCCAAGAACCGCAUGGUUCUUGGCUGAAAGAUGGCGUAAGCUAUCGCUUUUGGAUGGACCCGCGGCGUAUUAGCUAGUUGGUGAGGUAACGGCUCACCAAGGCAAUGAUACGUAGCCGAACUGAGAGGUUGAUCGGCCACAUUGGGACUGAGACACGGCCCAAACUCCUACGGGAGGCAGCAGUAGGGAAUCUUCCACAAUGGACGCAAGUCUGAUGGAGCAACGCCGCGUGAGUGAAGAAGGCUUUCGGGUCGUAAAACUCUGUUGUUGGAGAAGAAUGGUCGGCAGAGUAACUGUUGUCGGCGUGACGGUAUCCAACCAGAAAGCCACGGCUAACUACGUGCCAGCAGCCGCGGUAAUACGUAGGUGGCAAGCGUUAUCCGGAUUUAUUGGGCGUAAAGCGAGCGCAGGCGGUUUUUUAAGUCUGAUGUGAAAGCCCUCGGCUUAACCGAGGAAGUGCAUCGGAAACUGGGAAACUUGAGUGCAGAAGAGGACAGUGGAACUCCAUGUGUAGCGGUGAAAUGCGUAGAUAUAUGGAAGAACACCAGUGGCGAAGGCGGCUGUCUGGUCUGUAACUGACGCUGAGGCUCGAAAGCAUGGGUAGCGAACAGGAUUAGAUACCCUGGUAGUCCAUGCCGUAAACGAUGAAUGCUAGGUGUUGGAGGGUUUCCGCCCUUCAGUGCCGCAGCUAACGCAUUAAGCAUUCCGCCUGGGGAGUACGACCGCAAGGUUGAAACUCAAAGGAAUUGACGGGGGCCCGCACAAGCGGUGGAGCAUGUGGUUUAAUUCGAAGCAACGCGAAGAACCUUACCAGGUCUUGACAUCUUUUGAUCACCUGAGAGAUCAGGUUUCCCCUUCGGGGGCAAAAUGACAGGUGGUGCAUGGUUGUCGUCAGCUCGUGUCGUGAGAUGUUGGGUUAAGUCCCGCAACGAGCGCAACCCUUAUGACUAGUUGCCAGCAUUUAGUUGGGCACUCUAGUAAGACUGCCGGUGACAAACCGGAGGAAGGUGGGGAUGACGUCAAAUCAUCAUGCCCCUUAUGACCUGGGCUACACACGUGCUACAAUGGAUGGUACAACGAGUUGCGAGACCGCGAGGUCAAGCUAAUCUCUUAAAGCCAUUCUCAGUUCGGACUGUAGGCUGCAACUCGCCUACACGAAGUCGGAAUCGCUAGUAAUCGCGGAUCAGCACGCCGCGGUGAAUACGUUCCCGGGCCUUGUACACACCGCCCGUCACACCAUGAGAGUUUGUAACACCCGAAGCCGGUGGCGUAACCCUUUUAGGGAGCGAGCCGU
RNAcentral lists this ribosomal RNA (1453 nucleotides) under Lacticaseibacillus rhamnosus. RNAcentral describes it as "bacterial SSU rRNA". It matches the Rfam family "Bacterial small subunit ribosomal RNA". The record is from RNAcentral. Lineage: Bacteria; Bacillati; Bacillota; Bacilli; Lactobacillales; Lactobacillaceae.